Molecule: long non-coding RNA, 217 nt
Organism: Ixodes scapularis (black-legged tick)
Lineage: Eukaryota; Metazoa; Arthropoda; Arachnida; Ixodida; Ixodidae
Exons: 2
Source: RefSeq, a predicted model, not a curated record
AAUCAAUGUGCCCAAGAAAAGCCUAGGGGAACCGCAACAAGCUGGGGUUAACCACCAACUCCGUCCCGUGGCAGCAGUGAAUUUCAAGCAAGAAGAAUGCAGCUCAGAUGUUAAUAGAUUAAAAUCCAGUUUGUGACUAUUUACAGUGUCUGCAGACCAUCCGGAAAACAAAUGUUUUCCAAGAGCAUAUUUGCAUAAUAAAAUGUGAAAACAUACA